CCUACGGGAGGCAGCAGUGGGGAAUAUUGGGCAAUGGGCGCAAGCCUGACCCAGCAACGCCGCGUGAAGGAAGAAGGCUUUCGGGUUGUAAACUUCUUUUCUCAGGGACGAAGCAAGUGACGGUACCUGAGGAAUAAGCCACGGCUAACUACGUGCCAGCAGCCGCCGUAAUACGUAGGGGGCAAGCGUUAUCCGGAUUUACUGGGUGUAAAGGGCGUGUAGGCGGGACGUCAAGUCAGAUGUGAAAACCACGGGCUCAACCUGUGGACUGCAUUUGAAACUGGAGUUCGUGAGUACAGGAGAGGCAUGCGGAAUUCCUAGUGUAGCGGUGAAAUGCGUAGAGAUUAGGAGGAACACCAGUGGCGAAGGCGGUCUGCUGGACAGCAACUGACGCUGAGGCGCGAAAGCGUGGGGAGCAAACAGGAUUAGAUACCCGAGUAGUC
RNAcentral lists this ribosomal RNA (443 nucleotides) under uncultured bacterium. Its description in RNAcentral is "partial 16S ribosomal RNA". It matches the Rfam family "Bacterial small subunit ribosomal RNA", at positions 338 to 795 of the family's 1533-position model. The record is from RNAcentral.